Non-coding RNA from Salmo salar (Atlantic salmon), 64 nucleotides. The record is from Rfam. Lineage: Eukaryota; Metazoa; Chordata; Actinopteri; Salmoniformes; Salmonidae.
UGCAUUCACUACUGUAAGUCGCUCUGGAUAAAAAUGGAUAAGAGCGUCUGCUAAAUGACUAAAA